GUCUGUGCAUAUGCUAGUCUGAAAGCAGUAAUCCACUUUACCAAAUCAAGUUAUUUUUAAAAAAUUUUCUGGGAACUGAAGCUGCUGUACCUUUUUCUAAGGUUUCUAAAUAAUAAACAUUUGAAUUUGGUUCUGUGAAAUGAAAUUAUUCUGUUGAGGAGGACGGUUGCUGGUUUGUUCCAGUCUACAGCUGAGAGAGGCUUUCCCACUCAAUCUCUUCUUUUAUGCCAUUUCUUGGAUUUGCAGGUCUCUCUUCUGUCUCCCACUCUUCAAACUUUCUGGACCUCUACACUCUACUUGGUAUUUUCUCAAUUGUUUGUGUGUUAAUGCUGCCGAGAGGGAAAAAUUCCUAAAAGAAGGAGAGGCAAUUUGACUGUGCUGUUUUGUGCUUGCACCUGGGUGACUGGUGGCUGACCAUCCAGCAAGUGGGUAAACAAAAAGCCACAAGCAGUCCUGGAAAAUGGAAACUCUGCCCCUUUAUCUGUUACAAAGCUGCACCAGUCUGCUGAGUGCAAAAAAUGCAUUGUUCAGUAAACCCAGCGAAGACCAUAAGAAGCAGCCUUCUGCAGCACAGCCCAUCAUGUCACUGAUCAGAUGGCUUCAGCAGCACCAGUUCAACACAUCACAUGGCCGUGGGGGGUUUCUGGUCACCCCCUCUCACUAAGAGGAGCUCCUAUCAUUGGCCUAAUGACUGCAGGCUAUCUAUGUUGCUAGGUUGAGUAGUAGCUGAACAGCUC
RNAcentral lists this long non-coding RNA (737 nucleotides) under Gallus gallus (chicken). Lineage: Eukaryota; Metazoa; Chordata; Aves; Galliformes; Phasianidae. The record is from RNAcentral.